Molecule: long non-coding RNA, 323 nt
Filed under: Eutrema salsugineum
Lineage: Eukaryota; Viridiplantae; Streptophyta; Magnoliopsida; Brassicales; Brassicaceae
Description: long non-coding RNA (ESAL_LNC001235)
Source: RNAcentral
UUGAAAAUCUUUGUUCAAAUAGGACAAAGUUGCUGGCGUAGCUGACAAGAAAACUACACCAUUAUAAAUAUUCCCCAGCACACUUGUUGUGAUCAUAACAACAUUAGUUUUACUAAAUAGCCUUAACUUAUCUUCAAAUUGUUCAGCUUGUUCUCCCCACAGUACCAUUGUAGUGUCGAUUCCAUUAAUUGCAUUGUUUGAUAAGCUUAAAUGUUAGUAUAAAAUUAAUCAUGAGACGAUUUUAACAAACAAUCCUAGAUAUGGUUAAAAUUUAUAAAUCUAUUUUUUAAAGUAUAUCCAUACCUUUCUAGUAUCAAUGUUAG